This 588-nucleotide ribosomal RNA is filed under the name uncultured bacterium. RNAcentral's name for it is "bacterial SSU rRNA". It matches the Rfam family "Bacterial small subunit ribosomal RNA", at positions 331 to 929 of the family's 1533-position model. The record is from RNAcentral.
CCAGACUCCUACGGGAGGCAGCAGUGGGGAAUAUUGCACAAUGGGCGGAAGCCUGAUGCAGCAACGCCGCGUGCGGGAUGACGGCCUUCGGGUUGUAAACCGCUUUCGCCUGUGACGAAGCGUGAGUGACGGUAAUGGGUAAAGAAGCACCGGCUAACUACGUGCCAGCAGCCGCGGUGAUACGUAGGGUGCGAGCGUUGUCCGGAUUUAUUGGGCGUAAAGGGCUCGUAGGUGGUUGAUCGCGUCGGAAGUGUAAUCUUGGGGCUUAACCCUGAGCGUGCUUUCGAUACGGGUUGACUUGAGGAAGGUAGGGGAGAAUGGAAUUCCUGGUGGAGCAGUGGAAUGCGCAGAUAUCAGGAGGAACACCAGUGGCGAAGGCGGUUCUCUGGGCCUUUCCUGACGCUGAGGAGCGAAAGCGUGGGGAGCGAACAGGCUUAGAUACCCUGGUAGUCCACGCUGUAAACGGUGGGUACUAGGUGUGGGGUCCAUUCCACGGGUUCCGUGCCGUAGCUAACGCUUUAAGUACCCCGCCUGGGGAGUACGGCCGCAAGGCUAAAACUCAAAGGAAUUGACGGGGGCCCGCACAAG